GACGAACGCUGGCGGCGUGCUUAACACAUGCAAGUCGAACGGUAAGGCCCCUUCGGGGGUACACGAGUGGCGAACGGGUGAGUAACACGUGAGCAACCUGCCCUUGACUCUGGAAUAACAGUUGGAAACAGCUGCUAAUACUGGAUAUUCAUCGUCUCCUUCCUGGGGGGUGGUGGAAAGCUCCGGCGGUCAGGGAUGGGCUCGCGGCCUAUCAGCUUGUUGGUGAGGUAAUGGCUCACCAAGGCUUCGACGGGUAGCCGGCCUGAGAGGGCGACCGGCCACACUGGGACUAAGAUACGGCCCAGACUCCUACGGGAGGCAGCAGUGGGGAAUAUUGCACAAUGGGCGCAAGCCUGAUGCAGCAACGCCGCGUGCGGGAUGACGGCCUUCGGGUUGUAAACCGCUUUCAGUAGGGACGAAGGGUGACUGACGGUACCUACAGAAGAAGGACCGGCUAACUACGUG
RNAcentral lists this ribosomal RNA (465 nucleotides) under uncultured bacterium. RNAcentral describes it as "partial 16S ribosomal RNA". It matches the Rfam family "Bacterial small subunit ribosomal RNA", at positions 28 to 507 of the family's 1533-position model. The record is from RNAcentral.